CCUACGGGGGGCUGCAGUAAGGAAUAUUGGUCAAUGGACGCAAGUCUGAACCAGCCAUGCCGCGUGGAGGAUGAAGGUCCUCUGGAUUGUAAACUUCUUUUAUUUGGGAAGAAACUCCCGAUUUCCAUCGGGAUUGACGGUACCAGAUGAAUAAGCACCGGCUAACUCCGUGCCAGCAGCCGCGGUAAUACGGAGGGUGUCGGCGUUACUCGGAUUCACGGGGUUGUAAGUGUGCAGAGAUGGGCGUGUUGAAAUCUCCGUGCUUAACCCGGAAACUGCCAUUGAUACUAUUUGUCUUGAAUACUCUGGAGGUGAGCGGAAUAUGUCAUGUAGCGGUGAAAUGCUUAGAUAUGACAUAGAACACCCAUUGCGAAGGCAGCUCACUACGGAAAUAUUGACGCUGAGGCACGAAAGCGUGGGGAUCAAACAGGAUUAGAUACCCGUGUAGUC
This 450-nucleotide ribosomal RNA is filed under the name uncultured bacterium. Its description in RNAcentral is "partial 16S ribosomal RNA". It matches the Rfam family "Bacterial small subunit ribosomal RNA", at positions 338 to 795 of the family's 1533-position model. The record is from RNAcentral.